GGGAAAUACUUUCCAGCAGGCAAUCAGAGGAGGCUGAACGGCUGCUUUGGCAGCUGUUGCUCCCUCUGACGCAGCUCUGCUGGCAAGGCUCUUUCAGAUGCCACGGGAGGAGUGGAACAGCCUGAACACCCCCAGUGUUUGCAGUCAUUGAGAAAGGCGCUGAACCCACUGCCCUGCUGGUGUGAGCCUCAUUGGUCCUGCAGAGGGGCCGAUCCCACAUCCCCGCCCCUACAAACAGCGCGCUGGGAUGGGCACAGCCACUGCGGGGCUCGGGGUCCAGGCACUGAGGUGUGUGAGCUCCGGGCUGUGCAUGGGGAGCCUUAGCUGAGAAAACAAGUAAGUUUUUAGCCAGCAUUUACGUCAGGGAUCUCACCACGAGCAGCUGUCGCUGCCUUGCUUUGGAGGAGAGACUGUUGCAGGUGAACUCUGGAGCUGGGAGAAGCUGCACAGAUGUCAGGGAGGAAACCAGCCAAGGAGGAUGUGGCAAGAAAUAACAAAAGAGGAGAAAGUAUUGGGACCUGGAUGAGAUCAGGGAGAUAAAAAAUGGGCUCAGAAUAGUUAGGAGGAAAGAGGAAGGAGUGGGAGCUAAGACAGCCAUGAGUACCAUCAGCAGAAUAGUGAAUGCAAAUGAAUGGGAGGGACAUUGCAGCAGGUGAGGAAAUGCUCAUUAAGAAGAGCUUAAUGAGACAAUAAAAGCCUCUGGGAAGCCUCACAGUCCCCACGCCUCUCCUCUGAAACAACUCCAAACAAACAAACAAAAGCCAGCCUGGUUGAGCAGUGAUGGAUGGAGCUCAGGAGCUGGGAUGACAGCAGCAUUUAUUUUCUCUCAGGUGAUGGAUGCAGGCUGUCGCCCAGCCCAGUGCAGGGUGAGCAGUGCCCUUCACCUUGGCUGGACUAGGUGUGGUGUGGGACUUGCACAUCCCUGCUUGCCAGGGUCACAUCUGGAGUAAGAACAACAAACCUCUGUGAGCCAGUGUUUUCACGCACAGAAAAUUUUCAGAAUUCCUUACAUGGCUGCUAAUUGAAUCAUUGUAAAUGAAACAAAAUCUGUGUGCUCA
Molecule: non-coding RNA, 1058 nt
Organism: Taeniopygia guttata (zebra finch)
Lineage: Eukaryota; Metazoa; Chordata; Aves; Passeriformes; Estrildidae
Source: RefSeq, a predicted model, not a curated record